UAACGCGUGGGUAACCUGCCUUACACUGGGGGAUAACACUUAGAAAUAGGUGCUAAUACCGCAUAAGCGCACGAAGCCGCAUGGAUUUGUGUGAAAAACUCCGGUGGUGUAAGAUGGACCCGCGUCUGAUUAGCUUGUUGGCGGGGUAACGGCCCACCAAGGCGACGAUCAGUAGCCGGCCUGAGAGGGUGGACGGCCACAUUGGGACUGAGACACGGCCCAAACUCCUACGGGAGGCAGCAGUGGGGGAUAUUGGACAAUGGGGGGAACCCUGAUCCAGCGACGCCGCGUGAGUGAAGAAGUAUUUCGGUAUGUAAAGCUCUGUCAGCAGGGAAGAAAGAAAUGACGGUACCUGACCAAGAAGCCCCGGCUAACUACGUGCCAGCAGCCGCGGUAAUACGUAGGGGGCAAGCGUUAUCCGGAAUUACUGGGUGUAAAGGGAGCGUAGACGGUUAAGUAAGUCUGGAGUGAAAGGCCGGGGCUCAACCCCGGGACUGCUCUGGAAACUAUUUAACUUGAGUGCAGGAGAGGUAAGCGGAAUUCCUAGUGUAGCGGUGAAAUGCGUAGAUAUUAGGAGGAACACCAGUGGCGAAGGCGGCUUACUGGACUGUAACUGACGUUGAGGCUCGAAAGCGUGGGGAGCAAACAGGAUUAGAUACCCUGGUAGU
This 668-nucleotide ribosomal RNA is filed under the name uncultured bacterium. RNAcentral describes it as "bacterial SSU rRNA". It matches the Rfam family "Bacterial small subunit ribosomal RNA", at positions 111 to 794 of the family's 1533-position model. The record is from RNAcentral.